UCGGCUCCUCCAAGGUGAGAGCCUCGCCACUCACCCCGUUCCCUACUCUUGACGUCCACCGUCGUCAACGCACUCGUUUGUUGUCGUUGUGCUCUCAUCGUGUCGACGAUUGCAGGUAGCAGAUUCAUGAAAUAUGUUGUUCCUGGGAUAUGCUGCACUUGUGGCGUUUGUGUUAAUUUCAAAAGGCACCGCAAACGAAACCCGGGACAUAUAUGUGACUGAAGGAGAUCAGGUUGUGCUGCCCUGUGGUGUUGAUGAUGGCUCCUUGAAGAGGUGACGCGGAGGAGAGUCGUGGUGUACGAUACACGGACGGUGACACGGAGCAAAACGACUUCAGAGCGACUGCAUGGACACCGGAUAAUGCGAUUUUGGAUAUUUGGUGGUGAGCGUGUGGGUGAGACCGCGUGAUCCUCGUUUGCAUGGCCAACACCUUUCUCGCUGCUGAUACCCACGAUACUCGUGGAAGAUGCUGGGAUAUACUUCUGCCUGGUAAAUAGUAACCAACUCCAACUCAUGCAAAAACUAGAAUUUCAACUCAUCAUAAGGGAAAAAGGGACCGAAACAGUUGGAAAUGUCACCACGAAUCCAUCAAGAUGCAUCUCAGAGGUGGCCAGCUCAGGUCCUUCUGGCUGUGAGAACUCAAACACAACUCAAGGCACUGAUCUUGACAACACAUUGAGGCAAUACAAGAUGCUAUUUUUAAUCUCUCUUGCAAUGAUGGCUGUUUUGAUAACAGUGUUGGUCGUGGUAAUCUUCCAACUGGUCAAGAAAAAAAAUGAAUGCCUGUCAUUGAUAUCGAAACUGCAAGGACUCGGCAAGCUCUCUGCGCAGGAACACGCUUCGGAUGCAGGAGAGGAGCCCCAUUACUGCCCACUCCGGGGGAAAGGGCACAACUCCGAGAUCUACACUCAUCUGCCUGGGCAAUCAUAAUGCGCUUACACACACACACAUACUGCUAUCUAUAUCAUCAUCAUUUUUAUGACGUUUGUUUAUGCAAUAAAGCCUCACUGCGUACCAGGACUCUUGUUCGGUAUGAUCCUGCCAAGCUUACGGAGUAGGGAGCAAGUUUUGUUUAUGUGGGUCAUUUGUAGGCCAUUCUUCAGCAUUGGGAUGUUUGCCCAAUACAAGUUACAUUGCGUGCCUUUAGCUAUUGGCAGGAAACCCACGCAGAACAGGGGGAGAACAUACCAACUCCACACAGAAAGGUGCCCGAGAUGGGAAUCGAACCAAGACCCUUCUUGCUGUUAGACACAAGUGUUACCACUGUGCGUAACACCAUGCCACCCAAAAAUGAAUAAAAGUUUAAUUCUUGUACAUUGUUACUUAAGUGUAGCGGGUAUAACAUGAUUUAAAAUCUGGUCUUAAAAUGUGUAGUGUUUGCAAUGAGUUACUGUUAGACAACUUUAAUGAGUGCAACUUAUAAAUGCAGUACCGUAUAUGCCUACUGUGUCCUUGACGUGUGCUUUUAAAAACACCGUCAACAUCCAUUUUGGAGGCUUUUAUGUCGAAAACGUCUCUGGCACGCAUUGCGAGCUUGCACAUUUGAGGAUAACCGUCAGAUAUCCGACUCCCUGGGGACUCAGGUUCAGACGGUUGUGUGUGAAGGUCGGAUUUGCAAACAUCUACAGAAUGUGACAGUUUUUCAUCGUUCACAGAUACUCGCGCUUCAUUGCUAUAAGCUCACAAACAAAUGCAUCUGCCGUGAUCACUCUGAUCAUAUCACGUUUUUUGAUCUGGGGCAUCUGUUGUAAAUGUAUGCAUGUUGAACUUCUUUCGCAUCGUACGUAGCCGACCGUAUAAUUAUAUGUUUCAAACAUUGCAUACUCUGA
Lethenteron reissneri (Far Eastern brook lamprey) is the source of this 1829-nucleotide long non-coding RNA. RefSeq lists it as uncharacterized. The record is from RefSeq and is a predicted model, not a curated record. NCBI's taxonomy places the organism in Eukaryota, Metazoa, Chordata, Hyperoartia, Petromyzontiformes, Petromyzontidae.